This 166-nucleotide ribosomal RNA is filed under the name uncultured bacterium. RNAcentral describes it as "partial 16S ribosomal RNA". It matches the Rfam family "Bacterial small subunit ribosomal RNA", at positions 1335 to 1500 of the family's 1533-position model. The record is from RNAcentral.
CUAGUAAUCGUGGAUCAGCAUGCCACGGUGAAUACGUUCCCGGGUCUUGUACACACCGCCCGUCACACCAUGGGAGCUGGUAACACCCGAAGUCCGUAGCCUAACCGCAAGGGGGGCGCGGCCGAAGGUGGGUUCGAUAAUUGGGGUGAAGUCGUAACAAGGUACC